Molecule: ribosomal RNA, 463 nt
Filed under: uncultured bacterium
Lineage: Bacteria
Description: bacterial SSU rRNA
Rfam family: Bacterial small subunit ribosomal RNA
Source: RNAcentral
GACGAACGCUGGCGGCAUGCCUAACACAUGCAAGUCGAACGGAGAGUAACGCUGAAUUGAUGAUAGCUUGCUAUUGGAUUUUCUUGUUGCUCUUAGUGGCGGACGGGCGAGUAACGCGUGAGUAACCUGCCCUUCAGUGGGGAACAACAGUUGGAAACGACUGCUAAUACCGCAUAAUGUCACGAGGCCGCAUGACCUUGUGACCAAAGGAUUUAUUCGCUGAAGGAUGGACUCGCGUCCGAUUAGCUAGUUGGUGAGGUAACGGCUCACCAAGGCGACGAUCAGUAGCCGGACUGAGAGGUUGACCGGCCACAUUGGGACUGAGACACGGCCCAGACUCCUACGGGAGGCAGCAGUGGGGAAUAUUGGGCAAUGGGCGCAAAGCCUGACCCAGCAAACGCCGCGUGAAGGAAGAAGGCUUUCGGGUUGUAAACUUCUUUAUAAGGGACGAACACAAUGACGG